RNAcentral lists this ribosomal RNA (468 nucleotides) under uncultured bacterium. RNAcentral's name for it is "partial 16S ribosomal RNA". It matches the Rfam family "Bacterial small subunit ribosomal RNA", at positions 28 to 507 of the family's 1533-position model. The record is from RNAcentral.
GACGAACGCUGGCGGCGUGCUUAACACAUGCAAGUCGAACGGAAAGGCCCUGCUUUUGUGGGGUGCUCGAGUGGCGAACGGGUGAGUAACACGUGAGUAACCUGCCCUUGACUUUGGGAUAACUUCAGGAAACUGGGGCUAAUACCGGAUAGGAGCUCCUGCGGCAUGGUGGGGGUUGGAAAGUUUCGGCGGUUGGGGAUGGACUCGCGGCUUAUCAGCUUGUUGGUGGGGUAGUGGCUUACCAAGGCUUUGACGGGUAGCCGGCCUGAGAGGGUGACCGGCCACAUUGGGACUGAUAUACGGCCCAGACUCCUACGGGAGGCAGCAGUGGGGAAUAUUGCACAAUGGGCGGAAGCCUGAUGCAGCAACGCCGCGUGCGGGAUGACGGCCUUCGGGUUGUAAACCGCUUUCGCCUGUGACGAAGCGUGAGUGACGGUAAUGGGUAAAGAAGCACCGGCUAACUACGUG